RNAcentral lists this ribosomal RNA (173 nucleotides) under Salmonella enterica subsp. enterica serovar Heidelberg. RNAcentral describes it as "partial 16S ribosomal RNA". It matches the Rfam family "Bacterial small subunit ribosomal RNA", at positions 1 to 165 of the family's 1533-position model. Lineage: Bacteria; Pseudomonadati; Pseudomonadota; Gammaproteobacteria; Enterobacterales; Enterobacteriaceae. The record is from RNAcentral. RNAcentral also lists the same sequence under 2 other names.
UUAAAUUGAAGAGUUUGAUCAUGGCUCAGAUUGAACGCUGGCGGCAGGCCUAACACAUGCAAGUCGAACGGUAACAGGAAGCAGCUUGCUGCUUUGCUGACGAGUGGCGGACGGGUGAGUAAUGUCUGGGAAACUGCCUGAUGGAGGGGGAUAACUACUGGAAACGGUGGCUA